AGUGAACGCUGGCGGCGUGCUUAACACAUGCAAGUCGAACGAGAACGGAAUAUAGCUUGCUAUAUUUGUCAGCUAAGUGGCGCACGGGUGAGUAAUGUAUAGAUAACCUGCCCUUAAGAAAGGAAUAACAGUUGGAAACGACUGCUAAUGCCCUAUAUGCCUUUAAUACAUAAGUAUGCAAGGGAAACGCUUUAGUGCUUAAGGAUGGGUCUGUAUGGUAUCAGCUUGUUGGUGAGGUAAUGGCUCACCAAGGCUAUGACGCCUAACUGGUUUGAGAGGAGGAUCAGUCACACUGGAACUGAGACACGGUCCAGACUCCUACGGGAGGCAGCAGUGGGGAAUAUUGCAAAAUGGACGAAAGUCUGAUGCAGCAACGCCGCGUGGAGGAUGACACAUUUCGGUGCGUAAACUCCUUUUAUAUAGGAAGAUAAUGACGGUACUAUAUGAAUAAGCACCGGCUAACUCCGUGCCAGCAGCCGCGGUAA
RNAcentral lists this ribosomal RNA (485 nucleotides) under uncultured bacterium. Its description in RNAcentral is "partial 16S ribosomal RNA". It matches the Rfam family "Bacterial small subunit ribosomal RNA", at positions 29 to 523 of the family's 1533-position model. The record is from RNAcentral.